UCCGGUUUGUCACCGGCAGUCCCAUUAGAGUGCCCAACUGAAUGUGGCAACUAAUGGCAAGGGUUGCGCUCGUUGCGGGACUUAACCCAACAUCUCACGACACGAGCUGACGACAGCCAUGCAGCACCUGUGUCCAGGUUCCCUUUCGGGCACACUCGCCUCUCAGCAAGCUUCCUGGCAUGUCAAGGGUAGGUAAGGUUCUUCGCGUUGCAUCGAAUUAAUCCACAUAAUCCACCGCUUGUGCGGGUCCCCGUCAAUUCCUUUGAGCUUUAAUCUUGCGACCGUACUCCCCAGGCGGAAUGCUUAAAGCGUUAGCUGCGCCACUGACGAGCAAGCUCGACAACGGCUAGCAUUCAUCGUUUACGGCGUGGACUAC
Molecule: unclassified non-coding RNA, 376 nt
Filed under: uncultured Pseudomonadota bacterium
Lineage: Bacteria; Pseudomonadati; Pseudomonadota
Description: uncultured proteobacterium contains 16S-23S intergenic spacer region
Source: RNAcentral